Molecule: ribosomal RNA, 254 nt
Filed under: uncultured bacterium
Lineage: Bacteria
Description: partial 16S ribosomal RNA
Rfam family: Bacterial small subunit ribosomal RNA
Source: RNAcentral
UACGUAGGGUGCAAGCGUUGUCCGGAAUUAUUGGGCGUAAAGAGCUCGUAGGCGGUUCGUCACGUCGGCUGUGAAAUCCCGAGGCUCAACCUCGGGUCUGCAGUCGAUACGGGCGGACUGGAGUACUGCAGGGGGAGACUGGAAUUCCUGGUGUAGCGGUGAAAUGCGCAGAUAUCAGGAGGAACACCGGUGGCGAAGGCGGCCCGCUGGGCAACUGCUGACACUGAGGCGCGACAGCGUGGGGAGCAAACAGG